GCUCAUCUCAUCCUGGGGCUGUAGCCGGUCCCAAGGGUAUGGCUGUUCGCCAUUUAAAGAGGUACGUGAGCUGGGUUUAAAACGUCGUGAGACAGUUUGGUCCCUAUCUGCCGUGGGCGUUGGAAUCUUGACGGGGGCUGCUCCUAGUACGAGAGGACCGGAGUGGACGUACCGCUGGUGUACCUGUUGUCUCGCCAGAGGCAUCGCAGGGUAGCUAUGUACGGAAGAGAUAACCGCUGAAAGCAUCUAAGCGGGAAACUCGCCUGAAGAUGAGGAUUCCCUGGAGCCUUGAGCUCCUUGAAGGGUCGUUCGAGACCAGGACGUUGAUAGGCUGGGUGUGGAAGCGCAGUAAUGCGUUAAGCUAACCAGUACUAAUUGCCCGUAAGGCUUGAUCCUAUAACCAGUGUGUUUC
This 412-nucleotide ribosomal RNA is filed under the name Cupriavidus sp. UME77. RNAcentral's name for it is "partial 23S ribosomal RNA". It matches the Rfam family "Bacterial large subunit ribosomal RNA", at positions 2535 to 2925 of the family's 2925-position model. Lineage: Bacteria; Pseudomonadati; Pseudomonadota; Betaproteobacteria; Burkholderiales; Burkholderiaceae. The record is from RNAcentral.